GACGAACGUUGGCGGCGUGCUUAACACAUGCAAGUCGAACGGAAAGGCCCUGCUUUUGUGGGGUGCUCGAGUGGCGAACGGGUGAGUAACACGUGAGUAACCUGCCCUUGACUUUGGGAUAACUUCAGGAAACUGGGGCUAAUACCGGAUAGGAGCUCCUGCUGCAUGGUGGGGGUUGGAAAGUUUCGGCGGUUGGGGAUGGACUCGCGGCUUAUCAGCUUGUUGGUGGGGUAGUGGCUUACCAAGGCUUUGACGGGUAGCCGGCCUGAGAGGGUGACCGGCCACAUUGGGACUGAGAUACGGCCCAGACUCCUACGGGAGGCAGCAGUGGGGAAUAUUGCACAAUGGGCGGAAGCCUGAUGCAGCAACGCCGCGUGCGGGAUGACGGCCUUCGGGUUGUAAACCGCUUUCGCCUGUGACGAAGCGUGAGUGACGGUAAUGGGUAAAGAAGCACCGGCUAACUACGUGCCAGCAGCCGCGGUGAUACGUAGGGUGCGAGCGUUGUCCGGAUUUAUUGGGCGUAAAGGGCUCGUAGGUGGUUGAUCGCGUCGGAAGUGUAAUCUUGGGGCUUAACCCUGAGCGUGCUUUCGAUACGGGUUGACUUGAGGAAGGUAGGGGAGAAUGGAAUUCCUGGUGGAGCGGUGGAAUGCGCAGAUAUCAGGAGGAACACCAGUGGCGAAGGCGGUUCUCUGGGCCUUUCCUGACGCUGAGGAGCGAAAGCGUGGGGAGCGAACAGGCUUAGAUACCCUGGUAGUCCACGCUGUAAACGGUGGGUACUAGGUGUGGGGUCCAUUCCACGGGUUCCGUGCCGUAGCUAACGCUUUAAGUACCCCGCCUGGGGAGUACGGCCGCAAGGCUAAAACUCAAAGGAAUUGACGGGGCCCCGCACAAGCGGCGGAGCAUGCGGAUUAAUUCGAUGCAACGCGUAGAACCUUACCUGGGUUUGACAUGGAUCGGGAGUGCUCAGAGAUGGGUGUGCCUCUUUUGGGGUCGGUUCACAGGUGGUGCAUGGCUGUCGUCAGCUCGUGUCGUGAGAUGUUGGGUUAAGUCCCGCAACGAGCGCAACCCUUGUUCACUGUUGCCAGCACGUUAUGGUGGGGACUCAGUGGAGACCGCCGGGGUCAACUCGGAGGAAGGUGGGGAUGACGUCAAGUCAUCAUACCCCUUAUGUCCAGGGCUUCACGCAUGCUACAAUGGCUGGUACAGAGAGUGGCGAGCCUGUGAGGGUGAGCGAAUCUCGGAAAGCCGGUCUCAGUUCGGAUUGGGGUCUGCAACUCGACCUCAUGAAGUCGGAGUCGCUAGUAAUCGCAGAUCAGCAACGCUGCGGUGAAUACGUUCCCGGG
This 1343-nucleotide ribosomal RNA is filed under the name uncultured bacterium. Its description in RNAcentral is "16S ribosomal RNA". It matches the Rfam family "Bacterial small subunit ribosomal RNA", at positions 28 to 1378 of the family's 1533-position model. The record is from RNAcentral.